AAACUUUCAACAACGGAUCUCUUGGUUCUGGCAUCGAUGAAGAACGCAGCGAAAUGCGAUAAGUAAUGUGAAUUGCAGAAUUCAGUGAAUCAUCGAAUCUUUGAACGCACAUUGCGCCCCUUGGUAUUCCGGGGGGCAUGCCUGUUCGAGCGUCACUA
This 158-nucleotide ribosomal RNA is filed under the name Lareunionomyces loeiensis. RNAcentral's name for it is "5.8S ribosomal RNA". It matches the Rfam family "5.8S ribosomal RNA". Rfam says of the family: 5.8S ribosomal RNA (5.8S rRNA) is a component of the large subunit of the eukaryotic ribosome. It is transcribed by RNA polymerase I as part of the 45S precursor that also contains 18S and 28S rRNA. Lineage: Eukaryota; Fungi; Ascomycota; Leotiomycetes; Helotiales; Neolauriomycetaceae. The record is from RNAcentral.